CGCGGACGGCUAGGGAGGAGGCGGGGUGCUCGCGGGACCCCGCCCAGGCUUCCCAGCGUCUUGGCGGGGGCCGGGGGCAUCCCCAGGGCACUGCGGCCGCAGUCCUGUCUGCUCCGACCCUCUCCUAUCACCCAGAAGUGGCCCGGCGGUUUCGGGCCGAGUCCGGGCUCUCUGUCCGCCUAGCGGGGAGCAGGACCGCGGCGUCUCGAGGCGGGGAGCCCCAAACUGAGUUUCGGCGCGGGCGGCGUGCGCGGUGAGGGGUGCGGCCUCUGCUCAGCCGGCCCAGUCCUUCCCACGAGGCCCCAGAGGAAGUCGCUGGAGCAAGGAAUCCGGACAUCUUACAAAAAACCGGAGCACUUGGGGCAGGCCUCUGCAUCCAGUGUCAGGUGGAAGGCGGCAGAUGGCGCGGGGUGGGGAGGCUGGGCCUGGUGGGGAGGCCGGCU
Molecule: long non-coding RNA, 443 nt
Filed under: Chinchilla lanigera (long-tailed chinchilla)
Lineage: Eukaryota; Metazoa; Chordata; Mammalia; Rodentia; Chinchillidae
Description: lncRNA (ENSCLAG00000027278.1)
Source: RNAcentral